Molecule: ribosomal RNA, 499 nt
Filed under: uncultured bacterium
Lineage: Bacteria
Description: partial 16S ribosomal RNA
Rfam family: Bacterial small subunit ribosomal RNA
Source: RNAcentral
GACGAACGCUGGCGGCGUGCCUAAUACAUGCAAGUCGGGCGGACUUUCAAGAAGCUUGCUUUUUGAAAGUUAGCGGCGGACGGGUGAGUAACACGUGGGCAACCUGCCUGCAAGACGGGGAUAACUCCGGGAAACCGGGGCUAAUACCGGAUAAUAUCUUCCUUCGCAUGAAGGAAGGUUGAAAGGCGGCGCAAGCUGCCGCUUGCAGAUGGGCCCGCGGCGCAUUAGCUAGUUGGUGAGGUAACGGCUCACCAAGGCGACGAUGCGUAGCCGACCUGAGAGGGUGAUCGGCCACACUGGGACUGAGACACGGCCCAGACUCCUACGGGAGGCAGCAGUAGGGAAUCUUCCGCAAUGGACGAAAGUCUGACGGAGCAACGCCGCGUGAGCGAAGAAGGUCUUCGGAUCGUAAAGCUCUGUUGUCAGGGAAGAACAAGUACCGUUCGAACAGGGCGGUACCUUGACGGUACCUGACCAGAAAGCCACGGCUAACUACGUG